UUUAGGAUUUGGAUUAGGAUUUGGUUUAGAGUUUAGGGUUUAAGGUUUGGAUUAGGGUUUGAUUAGGGAUUAAGGUUUGAUUAGGAUUUGGUUAGGGUUUAGGAUUUGGAUUAAGAUUUGGUUUAGGGUUUAGGAUUUAAGGUUUGGAUUAGGGUUUGAUUAGGGAUUAAGGUUUGAUUAGGAUUUAAGGUUUGUCUAGGAUUUGAUUAAGGUUGGAUUAGGAUUAGGAUUUGGUUAGAAUUUAAGGUUCUAUUAGAUUUUUGUUAGGGUUUGAUUAAGUUUUCUUUAAUAUUCUUUUAUAUUUCUUGAAAAUUUCCUUGUGUUUCUUUUAUAACUUCAAUAAAAUUUAAUUGAGCUUGUUUAAUGUUUGAUUAUGAUUGUUAACAUUUAAUUAUAAAUUCUCUAUAAUCCUAUUGGAUUGUUAGGACCUUUUGUUAUAAUUUUCUUUUACCUUCCACAGC
RNAcentral lists this long non-coding RNA (461 nucleotides) under Physcomitrium patens. RNAcentral's name for it is "long non-coding RNA (PPAT_LNC003325)". The record is from RNAcentral. Lineage: Eukaryota; Viridiplantae; Streptophyta; Bryopsida; Funariales; Funariaceae.